AGCGAACGCUGGCGGCAGGCCUAACACAUGCAAGUCGAACGAACUCUCCGGAGUUAGUGGCGGUCGGGUGAGUAACACGGGGGAACGUGCCUUUUGGUACGGAAUACUUCAGGUAAGCUUGUGCUAAUACCGCAUGUGCUAUUCUGGGGAAAGAUUUAUCGCCAUUAGAGCGGCCCGCGUCGGGUUAGCUAGUUGGUGAGGUAAUGGCCAACCAAGGCGUCGUUCAGUAGCUGGUUUGAGAGAAUGCCCAGCCACACUGGGGCUGAGGCACAGUCCAGAAUCCUAGGGAAGGGGGGAGAGGGGAAUCUAGCGAGAUGGGGGAAGGCAUGACGCAGCCAGGCCGGGUAAAUGAUGAUGGUGGUAGGAAAGUGAAGUUCUUUCAGCCGGGGCGAUAAUGACGGUACCCGGAGAAGAAGCCCCGGCUAACUUCGUG
RNAcentral lists this ribosomal RNA (433 nucleotides) under uncultured bacterium. RNAcentral describes it as "partial 16S ribosomal RNA". It matches the Rfam family "Bacterial small subunit ribosomal RNA", at positions 29 to 507 of the family's 1533-position model. The record is from RNAcentral.